RNAcentral lists this ribosomal RNA (685 nucleotides) under Hebeloma aanenii. RNAcentral's name for it is "eukaryotic LSU rRNA". Lineage: Eukaryota; Fungi; Basidiomycota; Agaricomycetes; Agaricales; Hymenogastraceae. The record is from RNAcentral.
AAGGUUUCCGUAGGUGAACCUGCGGAAGGAUCAUUAUUGAAUGAACUUGGUGUGGUUGUCGCUGGCCCUCUUGGGGGCAUGUGCACACCUACCAUUCUCAUCUCUCCACUUGUGCACCUCUUGUAGAUUUGGAAUUGAUUAUCCGAGGCAACUCGGUCGUGAGGACUUGCUAGCACUUAGCCGGCUUUCUUUGCAAUUCCAGGUCUAUGUUUUUCAUAUACCCCAUUGUAUGUAACAGAAUGUAUCAUUGGGCCCUUGUGCCUAUAAACCUUAUACAACUUUCAGCAACGGAUCUCUUGGCUCUCGCAUCGAUGAAGAACGCAGCGAAAUGCGAUAAGUAAUGUGAAUUGCAGAAUUCAGUGAAUCAUCGAAUCUUUGAACGCACCUUGCGCUCCUUGGUAUUCCGAGGAGCAUGCCUGUUUGAGUGUCAUUAAAUUCUCAACCAUUAUCAACUUUUGCUGAUAAUGGCUUGGAUGUGGGGGUCUAUUUUGCUGGCUUCUCAGAUAGUCAGCUCCCCUUAAAUGCAUUAGCCGGUGCCCCGCGUGGACUGUCUAUUGGUGUGAUAAUUAUCUACGCUAUAGACAUCYGCAAUCAUAUGGGUUUGCGCUGCUUCUAACAGUCUGUUGAUUCAGACAAUACAUGACAAUUUGACCUCAAAUCAGGUAGGACUACCCGCUGAACUUAA